CGUACGCUGGCGGCACGCNUAACACAUGCAAGUCGAACGCAGUAGCAAUACUGAGUGGCGAACGGGUGAGUAUAAUGUGGGUAUCUGCCUUUUGGUUUGGAAUAACACGAGGAAACUUGUGCUAAUACCGGAUAAGCCCUGACGGGGAAAGUUUUAACGCCAAAAGAUGAGCCCGCACUUGAUUAGCUAGUUGGUAAGGUAAUGGCUUACCAAGGCUACGAUCAAUAGCUGUUCUUAGAGGAAGAUCAGCCACAUUGGGACUGAGACACGGCCCAAACUCCUACGGGAGGCAGCAGUGGGGAAUCUUGCACAAUGGGGGAAACCCUGAUGCAGCGAUGCCGCGUGAGUGAAGAAGGCCCUUGGGUUGUAAAGCUCUUUCGUCGGGGAAGAAAAUGACUGUACCCGAAUAAGAAGGUCCGGCUAACUUCGUGCCAGCAGCCGCGGUAAUACGAAGGGACCUAGCGUAGUUCGGAAUUACUGGGCUUAAAGAGCACGUAGGUGGUUAAGAAAGUUGGUGGUGAAAUCCCAAGGCUUAACCUUGGAACUGCCACCAAAACUUUUUAACUAGAGUAUGAGUGAGGUAAGCGGAAUUUCUAGUGUAGAGGUGAAAUUCGUAGAUAUUAGAAAGAACACCAAUUGCGAAGGCAGCUUUCUGGUUCAUUACUGACACUGAGGUGCGAAAGCAUGGGUAGCGAAGAGGAUUAGAUACCCUCGUAGUCCAUGCCGUAAACGAUGUGUGCUAGACGUNGGAAAUUU
RNAcentral lists this ribosomal RNA (756 nucleotides) under uncultured Pelagibacterales bacterium. RNAcentral's name for it is "SSU rRNA". It matches the Rfam family "Bacterial small subunit ribosomal RNA", at positions 30 to 832 of the family's 1533-position model. Lineage: Bacteria; Pseudomonadati; Pseudomonadota; Alphaproteobacteria; Candidatus Pelagibacterales. The record is from RNAcentral.